This 225-nucleotide ribosomal RNA is filed under the name uncultured bacterium. Its description in RNAcentral is "partial 16S ribosomal RNA". It matches the Rfam family "Bacterial small subunit ribosomal RNA", at positions 108 to 334 of the family's 1533-position model. The record is from RNAcentral.
GAGUAAUAUAUAGUUAAUGUGCCUCGAAGACCGGGAUAGCCAUUGGAAACGAUGAUUAAUACUGGAUAUACCUAUCUAUCAUAAGUUAGAUAGGGAAACGUUUUUUCGCUUCGAGAUCGGACUAUAUCCCAUCAGUUAGUUGGUAGUGUAAGAGACUACCAAGGCAAUGACGGGUAGCGGGUUUGAGAGGAUGAUCCGCCACACUGGUACUGAGACACGGACCAG